Non-coding RNA from Oceanobacter sp., 283 nucleotides. NCBI's taxonomy places the organism in Bacteria, Pseudomonadati, Pseudomonadota, Gammaproteobacteria, Oceanospirillales, Oceanospirillaceae. The record is from Rfam.
CUUCUUCGAUCUGCUGUGGGCAAAUAAAGUGAAUAUGAGAGUCGAUACCACCCGCCGUGACGAUCUUACCUUCUGCGGCAAUCACGUCGGUACCCGGACCAACUUCAAUGGUGACGUCCGGCUGAACAUCAGGGUUACCGGCCUUGCCAAUGGCAGCGAUACGCCCACCUUUAAUACCGAUGUCUGCCUUAUAAAUUCCGGUGUAAUCGAUGACCAGAGCAUUCGUCAUGACACAAUCCAUGACUUUUUCUGAGGUGCUUUGUGAUUGCCCCAUGCCGUCACG